This 526-nucleotide ribosomal RNA is filed under the name Coniochaeta sp. Its description in RNAcentral is "eukaryotic LSU rRNA". The stretch from base 175 to 328 matches the Rfam family "5.8S ribosomal RNA". The record is from RNAcentral. Lineage: Eukaryota; Fungi; Ascomycota; Sordariomycetes; Coniochaetales; Coniochaetaceae.
UUAGAAGCCGAAAGGCUACUUAAAACCAUCGCGAACUCGUCCAAGUUGCUUCGGCGGCGCGGCCCCCCUCACGGGGGCGCCGCAGCCCCGCCUCUCCGGAGGUGUGGGGCGCCCGCCGGAGGUACGAAACUCUGUAUUAUAGUGGCAUCUCUGAGUAAAAAACAAAUAAGUUAAAACUUUCAACAACGGAUCUCUUGGUUCUGGCAUCGAUGAAGAACGCAGCGAAAUGCGAUAAGUAAUGUGAAUUGCAGAAUUCAGUGAAUCAUCGAAUCUUUGAACGCACAUUGCGCCCGCUAGUACUCUAGCGGGCAUGCCUGUUCGAGCGUCAUUUCAACCCUCAAGCCCUGCUUGGUGUUGGGGCCCUACGGCUGCCGUAGGCCCUGAAAGGAAGUGGCGGGCUCGCUACAACUCCGAGCGUAGUAAUUCAUUAUCUCGCUAGGGACGUUGCGGCGCGCUCCUGCCGUUAAAGACCAUCUUUAACUCAAGGUUGACCUCGGAUCAGGUAGGAAUACCCGCUGAACUUAAG